CGCGACUCGAUAUUAUUUGGUUGCGGUGAUCGUCGUCGUGGCGGCGGCGAGAGUCGGCGCGGCGCUGGGCGAGAGUCGGCGCGGAGCUGGGCGCCGCCGUAAUGGGUGAUGCCCGAUACUGAUACACGUGGACCGCGCCAGACAGAAAGAGAGGAAAGAGUUCGCGACGGCGGACGUGUACGCCCGCCAGCGGUGGAGGCGAGUUCAGCAUCUCGCGAACGUCUUCUGGAACCGCUGGAGGAAAGAGGUCGUCCUCGCUGCGCAGGAGCGCCGCAAGUGGACGAAAACGACGGAGAACGUCGAGGUCGGUGACGUUGUCCUCGUCAUGGAUGACGAGCGCCCACGCUCUCAGUGGCCGUUGGCGCGAGUCGUCAACACGUAUCCGGGCAGUGACGGCCUGGUACGCAAGGUGCGCGUCCUGAUGAACGGCUCGGAGCACAGAAGACCGGUUCACCGGCUGGUGACCCUGCUCCGUGCGGCACCUGGAGGCUCGGCUACGUGCACCGCCGAGUGACUGUGCACCGCCGAGUGACUGUUCCGUGCACCGCCGAGUGACUGUUCCGUGCACCGCCGAGUGACUGUUCCGUGCACCGCCGGGUGACUGUUCCGUGCACCGCCGAGUGACUGUUCCGUGCACCGCCGAGUGACUGCUCUGUGCACCACCGAGUGACUUUGCCCCGUUCACUGCGGCGUGACUUUGCCCCGUGCACUAUCGUGUGACUGCUCGGUGCACUGUCGGGCUACGGACCCGGCAGGUGAUCACGUGUGCUUAUGGUACUGUGAUGAAUUGAGCGCAAGAUUCCCCGUCAAGGGAGCCAGAAGGACAAAUUUGGUUGAAUGUCCCAAAUUUGGGGGAGCCAUGUGCCCGCGACUCGAUAUUAUUUGGUUGCGGUGAUCGUCGUCGUGGCGGCGGCGAGAGUCGGCGCGGCGCUGGGCGAGAGUCGGCGCGGAGCUGGGCGCCGCCGUAAUGGGUGAUGCCCGAUACUGAUACACGUGGACCGCGCCAGACAGAAAGAGAGGAAAGAGUAUGUUAUGAUUUAUUUGAUAUUUAUGGUUCAGUUAUGACCUAAAUAAUGUAUUGUUGUGUUACUACAUUCUUUUGUUACUGAUUUAUAUUUAUUUAUCGUAACUUUGGCUGUGAUAUUUUGUGUGCUUUUUAUGAAUGAGCGCCAUGAUUGUAGUAUCUCAUGUGUUUACUCGACUGAUUGUGUUAUUUUUGUGUAUUUUCAGUUUUUACGUAACCACCAUUGGGCGAACAUUAGAAUAUACCUGUAGUCAGCACUGAA
RNAcentral lists this unclassified non-coding RNA (1286 nucleotides) under Amphibalanus amphitrite. Its description in RNAcentral is "uncharacterized LOC122365016, transcript variant X3". The record is from RNAcentral. Lineage: Eukaryota; Metazoa; Arthropoda; Thecostraca; Balanomorpha; Balanidae.